AGCUUUGCGCAGUGGCAGUAUCGUAGCCAAUGAGGUUAAUCCGAGGCGCGAUUAUUGCUAAUUGAGAAAAAGGGACACGACAGGGGUGCCCCCUAUCACCUCUGUUAUUUAUCUCUGUCCUGGAGGUGUUGUUGAAUUUGAUCAGGAAGGAUCA
This 154-nucleotide small nuclear RNA is filed under the name Podarcis muralis (Common wall lizard). RNAcentral describes it as "U4 spliceosomal RNA (ENSPMRG00000019718.1)". The stretch from base 1 to 127 matches the Rfam family "U4 spliceosomal RNA". Rfam says of the family: U4 small nuclear RNA (U4 snRNA) is a component of the major U2-dependent spliceosome. Lineage: Eukaryota; Metazoa; Chordata; Lepidosauria; Squamata; Lacertidae. The record is from RNAcentral.